CCCCUGGUAGCUCAGAGGUUAAAGCGUCUGCCUGCAAUGCAUGAGACCUGGGUUCGAUCCCUGGGUUGGGAA
Molecule: non-coding RNA, 72 nt
Organism: Bos taurus (domestic cattle)
Lineage: Eukaryota; Metazoa; Chordata; Mammalia; Artiodactyla; Bovidae
Source: Rfam